This 740-nucleotide ribosomal RNA is filed under the name Alkalihalobacillus alcalophilus. Its description in RNAcentral is "bacterial SSU rRNA". It matches the Rfam family "Bacterial small subunit ribosomal RNA", at positions 36 to 758 of the family's 1533-position model. Lineage: Bacteria; Bacillati; Bacillota; Bacilli; Caryophanales; Bacillaceae. The record is from RNAcentral.
CUGGCGGCGUGCCUAAUACAUGCAAGUCGAGCGGAUUGAUGGGAGCUUGCUCCCUGAAAUCAGCGGCGGACGGGUGAGUAACACGUGGGUAACCUGCCUGUAAGACUGGGAUAACUCCGGGAAACCGGGGCUAAUACCGGAUAGUUCUUUUCCUCGCAUGAGGAAAAGUGGAAAGGCGGCUUCGGCUGCCACUUACAGAUGGACCCGCGGCGCAUUAGCUAGUUGGUGAGGUAACGGCUCACCAAGGCAACGAUGCGUAGCCGACCUGAGAGGGUGAUCGGCCACACUGGGACUGAGACACGGCCCAGACUCCUACGGGAGGCAGCAGUAGGGAAUCUUCCGCAAUGGACGAAAGUCUGACGGAGCAACGCCGCGUGAGUGAUGAAGGUUUUCGGAUCGUAAAGCUCUGUUGUUAGGGAAGAACAAGUGCCGUUCGAAUAGGGCGGCACCUUGACGGUACCUAACCAGAAAGCCACGGCUAACUACGUGCCAGCAGCCGCGGUAAUACGUAGGUGGCAAGCGUUGUCCGGAAUUAUUGGGCGUAAAGCGCGCGCAGGCGGUCUCUUAAGUCUGAUGUGAAAGCCCACGGCUCAACCGUGGAGGGUCAUUGGAAACUGGGGGACUUGAGUACAGAAGAGGAAAGUGGAAUUCCACGUGUAGCGGUGAAAUGCGUAGAUAUGUGGAGGAACACCAGUGGCGAAGGCGACUUUCUGGUCUGUAACUGACGCUGAGGCGCGAAA